This 473-nucleotide ribosomal RNA is filed under the name uncultured bacterium. RNAcentral's name for it is "bacterial SSU rRNA". It matches the Rfam family "Bacterial small subunit ribosomal RNA", at positions 28 to 526 of the family's 1533-position model. The record is from RNAcentral.
GACGAACGCUGGCGGCGUGCCUAAAACAUGCAAGUCGAACGGGGGAGCAAUCCCCAGUGGCGAACGGCGGAGUAAUACAUGAACAACGUGCCCUGAAGACCGGGAUAGUCAGUGGAAACGCUGGGUAAUACCGGAUGUGGCCGUCUUGUGGCAUCACGAGACGAUUAAAUGGUUUUUUCGCUUCAGGAGCGGUUCAUGGCCUAUCAGGUAGUUGGUGAGGUAACGGCUCACCAAGCCGACGACGGGUAGCGGGUCUGAGAGGACGAUCCGCUCGAGUGGGACUGAGACACGGCCCACACACCUACGGGUGGCAGCAGUUGGGAAUCUUGCACAAUGGGGGAAACCCUGAUGCAGCGACGCCGCGUGGAGGACGAAGGAUCUAGGUCUGUAAACUCCUUUUUCACGGAAAGACUUAGGACGGUACCGUGAGAAUAAGCUCCGGCUAACUACGUGCCAGCAGCCGCCGCUGUAAC